RNAcentral lists this long non-coding RNA (2771 nucleotides) under Homo sapiens (human). RNAcentral describes it as "non-protein coding lnc-KHDRBS1-3:1". The record is from RNAcentral. Lineage: Eukaryota; Metazoa; Chordata; Mammalia; Primates; Hominidae.
GACGUGUCUCCGGCCUGCACUAAUGGCUGCGGCGCCUCCCGCCCUCCCCUUCCCCGAGGCCCCCGGCGCCGGCGCGGGGGCCGCCCGGGAGGGGCGCACUCACGCUGGCGAGCUGGGGACUGGGCAUUGAAGUCCGGCGGUGGCGGGAGCGAGGAGGCGCCUCUCUCCUCAGUCACCUCGGCGGCGGCGGCGGCGGCGGUAGCGGUGGCGGCGGCGGCGACGACUCCCCCCCAGCCUCGGCGCGCGACACCCGGCCCGGCCCGGCGGCGGCGGCGGCGGCGCGUCUCCACGAGUCCGUCUUGCUGCUGCUGCUGCGGCCGCCGCUGCGUCUCCUGCUGCCGCCGCUGCCUCCGCUGCCGCCGCUGCCCUGUGGCGUCACCUCGCGCCGUGCCCGGCCGCCGCUGCCGCUCCAGCCGCUCCCGGACAGACGACGGUUACAGCCCGGCCGAUCGCGCCGCCACCACCACCGCUGCGCGCGCAGCCGGAACCAGCUCCCGCCGCCGCCCCUCAGGGGGCGCUGCGGGGCGCGGCGCGCAGGGCCACCGGCCCGCCCUCCGCGUUCGCUGACUGGCUGGCUGGCCGGCUCGCGGGCAGUUGGGCCCGCCCACCUGCCCCGCGGGGCGCUGACCCACUGCCCUGGGCGCCUCCCCCGCUCCUCCUCCUCGUGGUUCGUUCCGCUCCGCACUCCCGGCUACGGAAGGCGAGUCCAUGUGAUCGGGGAGGGAAGGCAGAACGUGGCCUGGGGAGUCGCUCGCCCACGCUGCGCCCCGCCCAUCCGCACCUGGGCUGGGUCGAGGGCCUGCAGCCGAGGUGUGACCUGCAAGGUCGAAGGGUUCUUUCUCGCUACUUGGCCCUAAGGCCUCGGGUCAGAUCCUGAUGGGACGGGGUGGCCGCCACGUCCUGGGCUUGGGGAUUUCCAACUCAGAAGUGGGAACCUGGCCAGCUCAGUUCUCGGCUGCCCUUCCUGAGGCCCCAAAUGAAUGGCGUGUGCAUCUUCGUCGAAGAUAUUAAUACGCCACCCCCAGCUCUGCCCACAAGACACACACCCACCCUAAGAACUGUCCCUGACAAGCCAAAAUUCAGACUUUCAGGAUGUAGGAUCUUGGGCAAGUGAUUCCAAGUAUUAUCAACUAUUAAAUGGAAAUAAUAAUCAGCUACCUCAUGGGCUCUUUCACGUAUCGAUAACAACGUAUGAAAACGCUUGAGAAGGGCCAGGCGCGGUGGCUCAUACCUGUAAUCCCAGUACUUUGGGAGGCCGAGGAGGGCAGAUCACAAGGUCAGGAGUUCGAGACCAGCCUGGCCAACAUAGUGAAACCCUGUGUCUGCUAAAAAUACAAAAAUUAGCUGGGCAUGGUGGCGCCCGCCCGGAAGGAGGGCCGUAAUCCCAGCUACUCGGGAGGUUGAGGCAGGAGACUCACUUGAACCCGGGAGGCGGAGUUUGCAGUGAGCCGAGAUCGUGCCACUGCACUCCAACCUGGGCGACAGAGUGAGACUCCGUCUCAAAAAAAAAAAAGAAAGAAAAAGAAAACGCUUGAGUUGAGAAAGUGAGAAAGAAGAGACCCUGAAUUUCAAGCUUUCCGACUUAAUGUCACCUUUAACGACGCAGAUUAUCGUAGAGAUUCUCAGGUGGAAAGGUUUUUGCCUCUUGCAUUUGGAAGCUAGCCAGAAAUUCUUUGCCAGAUCAUGCGUCCUGAGUUUUGGUUUGGAAAAUGUGGUCACUAGCGAGCUAGGAGGCUGGUUUGGGCCACGACCAGAUGGCAAAGUGCGGCAUUGGAGGCUGGCUUGGGAGGGAGAUGUCUCCCCCUGGGAAUUGCGGGUUGGGGAGGGUCUGUUCUUUCUGUCCACCCCUGGGAAGUCUUGCCUGCCCAGAACUGGCGCCUAUAUAGGAAGAAAUGAAGAUGCUCCCGUGGGUGCUUCUCCCCCACCUCGCCACCACAUCCAUGCUCAUCCAGCCCUGCGGGGAGAAGCAGUGAUCUGUCGUCAUUAGACCUUCCCCACAAGGUAGACUUGGGGCAUUGCUUCUGACCAGAAGGCUUCCAUUAGCGCUUAGCAGUAAAAAGAAAGGUCUUAUGACUCAGCCGCAUCAAGCCACAGCACAGAGUCCAGGAUGUUCACCACCAGGUGGCCCAGGAGGGGGUAUUCUAGGGCAAGGCUGGCUAGCAGGGCUGUGUGGGAGUUGAGAGAGGCCUUGAGGAGCAGGAGGGGCUGCAGAUCAGUAGCAAGGCCCUUAGGUGAGGAGCACAGACUGGGCUCACUUGCAUUCUGUCUGCCUCCAGCAAGCAGUAUUUUCUACUUCCUGGAAACAUAGACUGAUUUGAAAGAAAGAGCUACCACCUCUGCAAAACUUUUGCUGCGUCUGUGAGUUAUUGAUUCUUCCGAUAAAGUUGCAAAACACCUUGUGCAAUACUCUACCAUAGUACUUAACAUGGAAUUGUAAUUGCCUGUUUUCAGAUUCUCCCCUGCUUAAAUGGAUCUAUUUGGGGCAGUCUAGCAGAUUGUUUGCUUGUUUGUUUUCAUCUAGUAGAUUGUCUGACCAAGUGAAUGACCCUUCCCUCCACCUAGCUCUCCUUCUGGCCCUGAAAUAAAAUAAUGUAAUAACAACAUUAACAACAUAAGGAUAAGAAUAGUGGCUCCAAUAGUAGUUACCUUUACCGCCCCCCCCCUUUUUUUUUUUUUGAGACAGAGUCUCACUCUGUCACCCAGGCUGGAGUGCAGUGGCGGGAUCUCAGCUCACUGCAAGCUCCACCUCCUGGGUUUACACCAUUCUCCUG